UACAGGGGGGGCAAGCGUUGUUCGGAAUUACUGGGCGUAAAGGGUCUGUAGGUGGCCAACUAAGUCAGACGUGAAAUCCCUCAGCUUAACUGGGGAACUGCGUCUGAUACUGGAUGGCUCGAGUGUGGGAGAGGAAUGCGGAAUUCCAGGUGUAGCGGUGAAAUGCGUAGAUAUCGGGAGGAACACCAGUGGCGAAGGCGACUACCUGGCCUGUUCUUGACGCUGAGGCGCGAAAGCUAGGGGAGCAAACGGG
RNAcentral lists this ribosomal RNA (253 nucleotides) under uncultured bacterium. RNAcentral describes it as "partial 16S ribosomal RNA". It matches the Rfam family "Bacterial small subunit ribosomal RNA", at positions 524 to 776 of the family's 1533-position model. The record is from RNAcentral.